Molecule: non-coding RNA, 28 nt
Filed under: Homo sapiens (human)
Lineage: Eukaryota; Metazoa; Chordata; Mammalia; Primates; Hominidae
Source: RNAcentral
UAGAUGGAGACUUACAAGGGGCAGGAGC